GACGAACGCUGGCGGUGUGCUUAACACAUGCAAGUCGAACGGAAAGGCCUCUUUCGGGGGGUACUCGAGUGGCGAACGGGUGAGUAACACGUGAGUAACCUGCCCUUGACUUUGGGAUAACUUCAGGAAACUGGGGCUAAUACCGGAUAGGAGCUCCUGCUGCAUGGUGGGGGUUGGAAAGUUUCGGCGGUUGGGGAUGGACUCGCGGCUUAUCAGCUUGUUGGUGGGGUAGUGGCUUACCAAGGCUUUGACGGGUAGCCGGCCUGAGAGGGUGACCGGCCACAUUGGGACUGAGAUACGGCCCAGACUCCUACUGGGGGCAGCAGUGGGGAAUAUUGCACAAUGGGUGGAAGCCUGAUGCAGCAACGCCGUGUGCGGGAUGACGGCCUUCGGGUUGUAAACCGCUUUCGCUCAUGACGAAGCUUUGUGUGACGGUAGUGGGUAAAGAAGCACCGGCUAACUACGUG
RNAcentral lists this ribosomal RNA (467 nucleotides) under uncultured bacterium. Its description in RNAcentral is "partial 16S ribosomal RNA". It matches the Rfam family "Bacterial small subunit ribosomal RNA", at positions 28 to 507 of the family's 1533-position model. The record is from RNAcentral.